UACGUAGGGGGCAAGCGUUAUCCGGAAUUACUGGGUGUAAAGGGAGCGUAGACGGCUGUGCAAGUCUGGAGUGAAAGGCGGGGGCUCAACUCCUGGACUGCAUUGGAAACUGUAGAUCUUGAGUGCCGGAGAGGUAAGCGGAAUUCCUAGUGUAGCGGUGAAAUGCGUAGAUAUUAGGAGGAACACCAGUGGCGAAGGCAGCUUACCAGUCUGCGACUGACGCUCAGGCACGAAAGUGUGGGUAUCGAACAGG
Molecule: ribosomal RNA, 253 nt
Filed under: uncultured Eubacteriales bacterium
Lineage: Bacteria; Bacillati; Bacillota; Clostridia; Eubacteriales
Description: uncultured Clostridiales bacterium partial 16S ribosomal RNA
Rfam family: Bacterial small subunit ribosomal RNA
Source: RNAcentral